This 160-nucleotide non-coding RNA is filed under the name Sphingomonas sp. Leaf339. RNAcentral describes it as "Archaeal large subunit ribosomal RNA". It matches the Rfam family "Archaeal large subunit ribosomal RNA", at positions 1883 to 2090 of the family's 2987-position model. The record is from Rfam by way of RNAcentral. Lineage: Bacteria; Pseudomonadati; Pseudomonadota; Alphaproteobacteria; Sphingomonadales; Sphingomonadaceae.
AUUUUUCGCCUGUUUAUUAAAAACAUGUCUUUUUGAUAAUAAUAUAAAGUCUGACCUGCCCAAUGAAUUUUUGAAUGGCUGCGGUAUUUUGACCGUACAAAGGUAGCAUAAUAAUUAGUUUUUUAAUUGAAAGCUGGAAUGAACGGUUGGACGAGAAAAU